This 351-nucleotide unclassified non-coding RNA is filed under the name Hevea brasiliensis (rubber tree). The record is from RNAcentral. Lineage: Eukaryota; Viridiplantae; Streptophyta; Magnoliopsida; Malpighiales; Euphorbiaceae.
UCUUGUGAAUUUCAUUUGGAAAGUCGAGUUCUUGAAUAGUUGAAUGAAACCAGCUCGAUAAGGAGCUUUCUCUCUUUGGUUUUGGUUUAAAGUGUUUAUAUAUGCUUUGAUUAGAUUCUGCGUAAUUUCUUGAAGCAGUUUCUUGUUGUGAUCAGAUUUUCCAAUUAGGCGUUUUGCUAGGAGUUUCUCGGGUUUUCUUCAAUGAUUUCCUAUCUAUUCGGAAUUGAAUAAUAUAUGAAUUUGGAUUCGACACUAUCCAAUGUGUAUAACAUGCAAUACUACUUGUUUAACUUUACUCCUUUUAUGGAUUGGGAUGCUUUUGUUAGUUAAUAAAGCAAGAUUUUGCUGUAG